This 2838-nucleotide long non-coding RNA is filed under the name Mizuhopecten yessoensis (Yesso scallop). Its description in RNAcentral is "uncharacterized LOC110467392". The record is from RNAcentral. Lineage: Eukaryota; Metazoa; Mollusca; Bivalvia; Pectinida; Pectinidae.
CUUGUCCUCGGUAGUAACAUGCCAGUCUCCUCUGCUUGAAGAGCCCGUAGAUGUCACAGUUGAUUCUCUUCUUUGGAAUCUGUUUCGUAUAUGGGGAAUGCCAUGAAUACAAACAGAUUGUUCAGACAUACAAGUGUUUUCUUUCAAAGAGACGUCAUUUUACAAUGCGGAAAAUAUACGGUCAUUAUGUCGAAAUUUACAAAUUUGUGAAUCCAGUGUCCAUCAUGGUUCACAGAGUUAUCGUUUAGCAUACAUGUAUAUCAUGGAUUAAACGAAAGACAUUAUGCUUGGUGACACAUGUGGUGCAGGAACCACUUACCGUUCCAAAGAACCAGGUUUCGACCGAAACGAUUUGAGAGGGUUCACAAUCAAGUUUUUUUUUUAAAGUUCCAGUGUCUUCCUUUUAGGGUUACCUUCAGCAAAUUUUCAAGACGUCAACUCUUGUUAGCCUCGACUAUCAUACACGACAUUCGUUUGUCUCUAUUAUUUCUCUCCUCACAUUUCAGAAAGAUAACAAAAAUGUUAUGUAUAAUUUUCAUUUUUUUUAUUUCAUGUCUGGUGAGGCCCAGACAAAGACCAAUACAUAUUAAAAUAUCUGUGUACUUUCGUACAACCAUGUAAACGGUAACAUCAAUGGUACUCACAUUGGGAGGUGUUCAUGUGUGCGGAGUAAUCUGGACACGACAUCAUAAAUCAUAAACAGGGGCAUUAUUAAAAUAAUCGGCAGCACUUUUGAUAACAUUUUUCUGUGAAAACGAUGAGAAAAGUAGUAAAACCAACAAUUUUCAAAUUUCCUCUCACACUUCUAACAUCAGCACCAGACGGCCCAUUCACUCACUCACUCACUUUCUCUCUCUCAAUUCCAGUCAAUGGGAAAUUAAUCAGAUCAAUCACAUGAUCAGCCGUCUUGGUCACAUGACCUAACAUGACGUCAAUUUCAGAGAAGUCUCAUGAACUAUAUUCAGAACAUGUGCAUAAAUAUUUUGAUGCGUAAUUGAAUUGGUUUUUUUUACCUUUCUUAUCUUGAGUUCUAGUAACUUUAUUUGAUACAGACACUUUUCAAUAUUAAACUUAAUCUUGCUGUUUUGUAUCCAAUGCAUCUCUACGAACUAACAUCAGUCUAGGGACUUCAUCUUCUCUUCCAAGAAUAGGACCAUAAACAUAUAUGACUAUACACUAGAAAAUGUAAUGCUUCGUAUUAAAACACAGAGUUUAUGGUCAAUACUUAGUAUGUGAAAAUGCAUUUUCAUCGUUGAUAUGAUUUUUAUGGUUAAAUUCUUAAUUAAAUAAAUAUUAAAAUUAAGUAUACAGGUAGGCGAGAGCUAUAUCUACAUGUUAGUGUUAAAUAAAAACACCUGUUCAAAAAUAGUAAUGUUUCUCUCCUCCUUGCCCAACAACUCUUAUAUAUCUCUAUAUACAUAUAGUCUGACCAAUUGGUUCAACAUCUAUUCAUUUGUGACAAAACAUGACAUUACAACUAACACAUCACAUGGUAGGGGCCUCCACCACGCCAUCAACAGUGGGAUACUGCUGUAGGUGAAGGAGCUUGGUGUAUGCAGGACAAACACAUUAUCACCACUAAAUACAACAAAAACAUUUGAUUAAAAGCUCAGACCCUCACGCUUCAUAAGAAUUUUCUAUUUCAAUUUUUUUAAAAUGAGGUGUUUAGAACCAGACAUCUUUUAUGCAAUGGAAAGUAUUGCCGAAAGAAAAUUUCAUAAAAUCAUCCCAUUGAAAUGUCAGGUAUUUUAUAGGUAAUCAGUUAGGCUUAAAAAUAUUACCUCCCUGGAGUUGCAAAAACAUUCACAGUUAGUGUAUAAAUACCUGAAGGUAGCUGCCAGACAUGUUUUUACAUACAGAAUGAUUAAAAGAUAAAUAAAAAAAUCUUGAUUGUUUUUAUUCUUGUAGGAAUCAACAUAUUUUGUACAUGAUUUAUAUAUCUUACGUAAACUUGAAGGUCUAGGAUCUCAUUCAUAUUUUGUAUCCAGAAAUGAAAAUUGAAAGAUACCAUACACAUUGGUAAGUUUGCAAUAAAGACUCGAAAACUAAAUUGGAACUGAAUUGGAAUUGAUUAACUUGCAGGCAUUGGUUUUUGGCUGUCACCGUAGCAGCGUAAGAUAGUGAGACAGUGCUGAAUACUCUAUAGAAGGAUGAUAAAUAAAACGAUACCAAAUAUAUGCAUAAAGAUGAAGCUAAAUGCUUGUAUACAAAUAUAAAAUAUCUGAUAACGCUAAAAGAUAUGGCACAUUCCACAAUGUUAACAACUAAUCGACCAAAAACCAAGAUUCAUACCAGACCUUGAAAAGUACCGCCAAAAUAUUAAGAUUUCUCUUUCACGAUUUUCAGAUUUAUAACCUCUUUGUUUUUGCCUGAAAUGCAAUAUCUGUUAUCCUAUCAUAAAAUACUAACCAAAACACAUCCAACAUUACGCUGAAACAUCUUUAGACCCCAAAAACAAUCAAGUAAAAGUUACUUGAAAGACAUCACAUACAAAAUGUAGAAACCAUGUUUGAUAUCUGAGUAAAAUAUUCAAAUGUCAAAAGUAGAUGAAUGAGAAAAUGUGUUUAGUGACAACAGCAUGACCAAGACUAUUCCACGUCUUCCCAACACAUGACCAAGACUAUUCCACGUCUUCCCAACACAUGACCAAGACUAUUUCACGUCUUCCCAACACAAACAACUUUCUACACAAAACAAAAUAGAGUAAAAACAUAGAGGGGAAAAUAUAUUAUUUCAAUUUAAAACUUUAUAUUCAAUGACUCAAUAGGUUUUAUUAAGCACUCACAAAUAGCACACAUCAUGUAUGCUUAAAAUUGAUCAAUUCAUCUUUAAAAAAAA